Molecule: ribosomal RNA, 253 nt
Filed under: uncultured bacterium
Lineage: Bacteria
Description: partial 16S ribosomal RNA
Rfam family: Bacterial small subunit ribosomal RNA
Source: RNAcentral
UACGAAGGGGGCUAGCGUUGCUCGGAAUUACUGGGCGUAAAGGGCGCGUAGGCGGAUAGUUUAGUCAGAGGUGAAAGCCCAGGGCUCAACCUUGGAAUUGCCUUUGAUACUGGCUAUCUUGAGUUCGGAAGAGGUAAGUGGAAUGCCGAGUGUAGAGGUGAAAUUCGUAGAUAUUCGGCGGAACACCAGUGGCGAAGGCGACUUACUGGUCCGAUACUGACGCUGAGGCGCGAAAGCGUGGGGAGCAGACAGG